Molecule: ribosomal RNA, 517 nt
Filed under: uncultured bacterium
Lineage: Bacteria
Description: partial 16S ribosomal RNA
Rfam family: Bacterial small subunit ribosomal RNA
Source: RNAcentral
GACGAACGCUGGCGGCGUGCCUAAUACAUGCAAGUCGAGCGGACGUUUUUGAAGCUUGCUUCAAAAACGUUAGCGGCGGACGGGUGAGUAACACGUGGGCAACCUGCCUUAUCGACUGGGAUAACUCCGGGAAACCGGGGCUAAUACCGGAUAACAUCUAGCACCUCCUGGUGCCAGAUUAAAAGAGGGCCUUCGGGCUCUCACGGUGAGAUGGGCCCGCGGCGCAUUAGCUAGUUGGCGGGGUAAUGGCUCCCCAAGGCGACGAUGCGUAGCCGACCUGAGAGGGUGAUCGGCCACACUGGGACUGAGACACGGCCCAGACUCCUACGGGAGGCAGCAGUAGGGAAUCUUCCGCAAUGGACGAAAGUCUGACGGAGCAACGCCGCGUGAGUGAUGAAGGGUUUCGGCUCGUAAAGCUCUGUUAUGAGGGAAGAACACGUACCGUUCGAAUAGGGCGGUACCUUGACGGUACCUCAUCAGAAAGCCACGGCUAACUACGUGCCAGCCGCCGCGGUAA